Molecule: long non-coding RNA, 1007 nt
Filed under: Salvator merianae (Argentine black and white tegu)
Lineage: Eukaryota; Metazoa; Chordata; Lepidosauria; Squamata; Teiidae
Description: lncRNA (ENSSMRG00000000197.1)
Source: RNAcentral
GAGCGCGCGAGUCUCGGCCCGGGAAGCGAAAGUGAAAGGGCAGCGCAGGCGCUCGCGCGCGGGGGUGGGGAAGCGCAGAGCACGGAGAUGCUGAGAUGAUGCUCCUGCAUCGCCGUGACCACCUUGGUGCCUGGACGGGACUUUGCUGUCGGCGAUCGGCGAUUCGCGAUCGCUCGGAAAAAACUUGUGUGUGCAGAUGGCUACUGGAUAAGAAGGGACGCUGGGAGGGGUUAGGAUAGAAGAUGGAAGAUGGAAUCUGGCCCAGGGAAAGUCCUGCGGCGAGCCAUAAACACCUGGGAACCUCGCUACUAAAUGAGUGCACUUGCCUCAAGAAAACUAAAAUUAUGCCCGAGCCGACACAAGACCCUCCCUUCUCUCUCUCUCCUUCCUUCCUUCCUUCCUUCCUUUAAAAAGUGGUUUAUUAAGAAUGUGAUUCCUUUGACAAUAUAACUUAAGGAACCAAGAGUCGAAUGCUGCUACUACAGUCACUGAUACCACGACUGCAACAAUUAGAAAAGGACAUAGAAGAGUUUCACUGCUGGGUAGCCAAGGCAAAGGUAACAUCAACUUGGCCAGAUAGAAAUAACAGCACUAUGCAUCUCACAGGAAUGUGGAGAGAGUUCGAAGAUGCUAUGGAUGCCAUGCUCUGCACGUCCAGCGAUGCCAGGAUUAUUCUGGAGAAAACAUCUAUCCACUGGCCAUUCAGAUUUGCUUCCCAGCUGGUUCAGCCUAUGGCAAAUGAAGAGCUUGAAGAGUAAGAGUGACCUAGAACUACCUUUCAGCCUAGAACCCACUUCAAACAUGCAAAAUGUAUCCCUUGCUGGCAGGAGAACAGAAUGUGGCCCUAGCAGAGGUUACCCACUGCCACCCACUGGCACUACCUGUGUUUAGUGCACAACCUGGAGAUGCACAAGGUGUGCUUGGUGCCACUUACUAUAGCGGUUAUCCUUACCAGUCUGUGGCUCUGUCUCCACAUAUGGUGAUAACAAAGGCAUCACAAUGAGCAU